Long non-coding RNA from Ananas comosus (pineapple), 791 nucleotides. RefSeq lists it as uncharacterized. The record is from RefSeq and is a predicted model, not a curated record. NCBI's taxonomy places the organism in Eukaryota, Viridiplantae, Streptophyta, Magnoliopsida, Poales, Bromeliaceae. The transcript has 5 exons.
UGGGUCGUAUUUUACCCAUUAUCCUGGGGCGUACUUUCUCCCCUCUUUCUCCCCCCUCACCACCUCCUCCCCUCACCAAACCCAUCGAAACCCUAGAAAUCGGCCCUCGCGCUCCUCCUCCGCCGUAGCACCCGAAGAGAUAAGGUACGAGACGCCACGGUCGCCGGGGGAGUUGGCACAAAACGUCGAGGCGGCGGCGGUGUUGGGGGCGGAGUCCGGCGACUGCUUCCUGGCUGUGCUCGCGGCGCGUUGAAGGUGCGGAACGAGGAGAAGGAGAAGUAAAUGAUCUAUGAUGUUGGUCUAUUUAGUAGAAGAGAGGAGCUGCUGCUGCUUCUGUUUCAAGCUAAGCAUUGUUGAUCGAAGUAUUUACAUCACCUUGGGUCUUGCAAAAACUAGAUCCAUUAAGCAAGAAGCUCUUGCCUACUCAAAGGAUUUAUCCAGUUUUGUGAAAGGGAGGGUUACUGCUACAGAUUAUUUUGGCUGUAGAAUGGAUUCAAAGCGGAGUUAUCCACUAUGGUGCAACUGUCUCAUACUUUGGCUUUCUCAGCGAGAUGGUAACGAGUUCUUACUCCAGGAGUUGUAGCUAAAAGUUCAAGUAUAUAUUCGUGGAGCCGAUCAUAAUUUGUUUAUGCACUUUUUGAUUUUGUUAUCAUACAAUUUUUGAUUUUUUGUAUUUCUUUCAGUUAGAAAGUUUGAUUUGUUAUAAUUACUACAACAUAUGAGUGUAUAUUAUUGUUGUGAUGUAUGGAUAUUUGAUUUUAGUUUUAUCUUUUUAACAAGAAUUUAAGAAA